GCAGGGGACGGGGUGGCAGUAGAUGGUGGUUCCUCUAUACCUGCAGAGUCAGACGUGCUUCUGGUCAAUGCCACAUCUACUCCGACUCAUUCUCUUCUGGAUCUCCUUGCUGAUCAAGCGCUGGCUCGGGAGCAAUCUCUCUCAGUUUCCCAGGAGCUCCUAGCAGCAGCUGUUGCAAAAUACAAACAUUCAGUUCAGCGCUUGAGCUUUGGGGUGGACACCAAAAGUCCUCCCCUUCCUCCUCCUCCUCCUCAGUCCAGCCCAGUGGGUUUCCCAGUAAGCGGGGUGUGUCAGGUUGUUUUGCCCCAGCUGCUGCAGAUUGGAGACUUUGCCAGACACAUGGAUGCUGGCAAAAUCCAGAUCAUCUCUGAUGAUGCUGACAUUACUAUACAAUGAGAACACAUUGCAGAUUUACACACAAUGGGAGCAGGUUCCUUUGGAAACGGACUGGGCACAUAAUGGGAUUCUAACAAACAGCAGUGAGGAUCCCAAUUAUCUAACUUUUUGUCUAUAGCCAAAAGCUGUGACUCUCAGAUGAAGUUUGUGUGCUUUCUGUCAUUUUUACUUGUUUGUAUGAGUAUAUCAUCUGAGAUGGAAAGAAACUAAAGGUAAAAGUAAUACUAAUGGGUUUGACCCAUGAAGGGGAAAAGUGGCACUUUUACCAAUGAACAGAGAAAUUAACAUCUACCUUAUCUGUUUCUGAUCUUGACAUGUACUACCUGUGAUAAUGACUCUUUAACAUGUGUUUAAAAUGUAAAUGAUUUACUUUGAAUUAAUAAAUAAUAAAGAGCUUG
This is a long non-coding RNA of Morone saxatilis (striped sea-bass), 794 nucleotides long. RefSeq lists it as uncharacterized. The record is from RefSeq and is a predicted model, not a curated record. Lineage: Eukaryota; Metazoa; Chordata; Actinopteri; Moronidae. The transcript has 2 exons.